Molecule: non-coding RNA, 641 nt
Organism: Danio rerio (zebrafish)
Lineage: Eukaryota; Metazoa; Chordata; Actinopteri; Cypriniformes; Danionidae
Source: Ensembl
ACUCAGAUUGAUCAUCAAGAUCUCAAUUAUAAGCUUAAGUCUUGAUGACAACUUGAUGAUCUGCAGGAAAAACCACCAUGUAAGGAAGGCCAAGACCACUCUGGAAUCAGUCAAGGGUGAAAUGGAGUGAGGCAUACAAGGAUAUGUGUGGUUUUACUCUUGGGAAGGAGGUUGAACAGUGCAAUAUUUCUUCUAUAGGAUUGCAGUGACCAGACAUGCUACUGUAACUCUCAUGGUCAUGUGCUGGAAUUAGCAGAUAUUCAACAAUUUGGCCAUCUCGCUGACCUAUUGAUAUCAGAAGACCGCAACAGCUCUGCAAAGCAAGUUGCAAAACAGAAUCCAUGGAACUGGCAGUGACUGGAAACCAAUUGGAAGACUGUGGUCUGUGAUGUAGAGGAGUGGGCAGACGCAGAAGCAAAGACAACAAAAAACAGAAGUGAUAUGGAUGUCUUCAUCAUAUGGCAUGACUCUGCUGACCCAGCAACAAAGAGGAGGGUGUUCAACAUCAUCCUGCUAGUCAGGAUUCUUCAGGAGAAGCAGUGGAUUCUUGUGGCAGAGAUGGCCAACCACUAUAAAUACCUUUCAACUCAUCCUGGUUUUUUCAAAGAACUUUCCUGCUAGUUUGCUACUGAAAAGUACUG